AUUGAACGCUGGCGGCAGGCCUAACACAUGCAAGUCGAGCGAGCGGCGGACGGGUGAGUAAUGUCUGGGAAACUGCCGGAUGGAGGGGGAUAACUACUGGAAACGGUAGCUAAUACCGCAUACCAUCAGAUGUGCCCAGAUGGGAUUAGCUAGUAGGUGGGGUAAUGGCUCACCUAGGCGACGAGCCCUAGCUGGUCUUAGAGGAUGACCAGCCACCCUGGGCCUGGGACCCGGUCCAGACUCCUACGGGAGGCAGCAGUGGGGAAUAUUGCACAAUGGGCGCAAGCCUGAUGCAGCCAUGCCGCGUGUGUGAAGAGGGCCUUCGGGUUGUAAAGCACUUUCAGCGGGGAGGCUUUACCCGCAGAAGAAGCACCGGCUAACUCCGUGCCAGCAGCCGCGGUAAUUC
Molecule: ribosomal RNA, 406 nt
Filed under: uncultured bacterium
Lineage: Bacteria
Description: partial 16S ribosomal RNA
Rfam family: Bacterial small subunit ribosomal RNA
Source: RNAcentral